CGGCAACAGCUCAAAUUUGAAAUCUGGCCUUGGCCCGAGUUGUAAUUUGUAGAGGAUGCUUUUGGUGCGGUGCCUUCCGAGUUCCCUGGAACGGGACGCCUUAGAGGGUGAGAAUCCCGUAUGUGACUGGCUGCCUUCGCCUAUGUGAAGCUCUUUCGAC
This 160-nucleotide ribosomal RNA is filed under the name Orbiliaceae sp. RNAcentral describes it as "partial large subunit ribosomal RNA". It matches the Rfam family "Eukaryotic large subunit ribosomal RNA", at positions 99 to 261 of the family's 3401-position model. Lineage: Eukaryota; Fungi; Ascomycota; Orbiliomycetes; Orbiliales; Orbiliaceae. The record is from RNAcentral.